GUACCAAAACAUGUAUCGCUCCUGAUGCAUAUCAGGGGAGGAAAGUCCUGACACUCACAAACAGAUAACAUCUAACGGAUGUUGAAUCCCUAUCGAGGGUAAAUGAAAGUGCCACAGAAACGAAAACUAUCUCGACUUGUCGGGAGAAAGAUGCAACGCGAGGGUAGCGCAAGCUUACCUCUUCUGAAUGCAGAUGAUUUUGCAUCAGUGGUAAACCAUAUCUGGUGCAAGCUUACCUUAUGGGAAGUGCACAAUACUUGGCAUGACCGAGUUUAGAGAAAUGAUACAGUAACACAGAAUCAGGCUUAUGUUUUGCUACACUA
This 323-nucleotide RNase P RNA is filed under the name Patescibacteria group bacterium. Its description in RNAcentral is "RNase P RNA component class A". It matches the Rfam family "Bacterial RNase P class A". From Rfam's summary of the family: Ribonuclease P (RNase P) is a ubiquitous endoribonuclease, found in archaea, bacteria and eukarya as well as chloroplasts and mitochondria. Its best characterised activity is the generation of mature 5'-ends of tRNAs by cleaving the 5'-leader elements of precursor-tRNAs. The record is from RNAcentral.